Molecule: long non-coding RNA, 5372 nt
Filed under: Anser cygnoides (Swan goose)
Lineage: Eukaryota; Metazoa; Chordata; Aves; Anseriformes; Anatidae
Description: lncRNA (ENSACDG00005014418.1)
Source: RNAcentral
GAGGGACUGGGAGCAAGAUUGCACCUGUGGGACUCCAGCUCCAGCAGGAGAGCAGGGCCAGGGCUGCACCUUGCUGCUCUCGCCUCCCUUCCAGCUUCCCGGUGCUCCAGCAGCAUGGGGACCAGGGGAUGGACGCUUCCAGCCUUCGUGGGAUGCUGCCUAUGGAUUCUGCAUGGGCUCGGGGCCGCCGUCGCCGUCCCUGUGACCACGGAGGGGCCGUUUGGUGCCCACACAGCUUCUCCCACCGCGGCGCCGAGCGAGGCACGGGGCGCCCUGCCGCUGGGCGCCGCGGGGACGAGCACCGCCGUGGCUGAUACUGAGACAACCGAGAGCAUCCUCGCGGGACGCCCGGCCAGCCCGUCCUUCCCCUCCGGGGCCGAGGCAGAUUUGGUGACCACGACCAGCGCUCCAACCAGUGCUCUGGCUGCGGGGAGCGAUGCUGAGGCUGGGCUCAGCCCCAGCGCAGCAACACAGGCUCCCAGCGGAGAGCCCCAGGCGGUGACGGACGUGGCCACGUCUCUUAAUGCGUCCCAGGGAAACCAGACGGUUUCGGCUGCCGCCUUGGUUUUCACCCCCCAGCCUGCUUUCACCCCCAGCGCAGAGCUUGAUGUAACGGCGGCCGCUCCUGCUGCACCCCCCGGGGCCACCCCUCUGUUUGCAGACAUGAGCAAGGACAUCCUCGCGUCCGUGACAAGGGAAGGAGCGGACUUGGAGCCCACGGCUGAUGCCACAUCCCUCCCUGCCACCCUGCCUCCAGCAGCCACGGGGGCAGAGCCGACAACCGGCAGCCCCCUGGGUCCCCAUGUCACCGCACUGCUGAGCCAAGGGCAGGCCACGGCCACAGGAGCUGCGGAGGAAGGUGUCACCCUGCCUGGGGACAGCCAAGGAGAAGGCAGUGCCCCCUCCUCGAUCCCCAGCCCCGGGGCUGGGGGGCUGCUCACGACACGGUGGGACGAGGUGCCGAGUGGGACCGUGGGUGUCACCCCGGGACCAGCAGCUCUGGGGUCUGGCGAUGCGGGAGAUGCAGUAAAUGGUGCUGUUGGCACAACUGAUUCAUCCCAUCUGGCUCCAGAGAAUGGGACAGUGUCGGGAGCAGCGGAAAACCCAGGGCAGACCUCCCUCCUCGCUGGACAGGCAGGGCUGAGCCUGGCCACCUCACCAGGACCGGCCGGAGGCAGGGAUGGAGAUGUGCAGGGAGCCCCAGCGGUGUCACCGGCCAGCCCCGGCUCAGCCCCAGCUCCUGCAGCCCCCGAGGCACCUGGGGAGCGAGGGGACACGGCCACCUCGCUGCUGGCCUCCAGGGCCCCCACGGAUGCACAGAGUGACACGGAUGCCCCAGCCCCAUCCAUCACGCUGCCCCUGCCCACGGGGGCUGUGGGUCCGGCCGAGCCUUCCCUGCAGCCUGCCCCAUGGCACAGCCCCACCGGAGAACGGCAACCGCAGCUUGCCGCCGCUCUGCCGUCCCCCACGGACACCCCCAGUGCUCCCGGGGCUGCUUUCCCACCCCCAGGGGCUGCAGCUGGUGAUGGGGCAGAGACAACAGCGAACCCCGACCUCGGUGCUGCCCCAGGAGUGCCUGCCUUGCUGUCCCCUGGGAGGUCACAGCCAUGGGGUACAGCAGCCGCUGCUCCUGAGGGAGCGGAUGGAGCUGGCACCGUCCCGAAUUCAGCUCUGGAUGCUGCCAGCCUGGCUUCUUCUGGACCUAAUGGCCUGGCAGGGCCUGCUCAGGGGGACACAGCGGACACGGCACAGGCAGGGGACACAGGGGACAGCAGUCCUUACGCAGGCACCCAGGGUGACACCAGCUCUUCGUCCAGCAGCGCUCAGCAGGGUCCCGCUGACACCGCAGAGCUGCCGGCAGCCCCAGCAGGAGCCCUGCCCAGCACCGAGCUGUCCCCUGCUGCAGCUCCUGGGGACGGAGCAGGAACAGCCCCGGCACCAGAAGAAGUGUCCCCGCCUGGUCCCAUGGCUCCCGGCCAUGUGGGGCUGGAGCCCGACCUCUCAGGGGCUGAAGGACCAGGACCCCUGCCCAGUCAAGCCCCCGGUGCUCCCAGCGCUGCUUUCCCACCUCCUGUUGCUGCGUCUGGAGCUGCGUUUGGGACAAGCAAUGGGGCAGAGAUGGCAGCAAACCCCGACCUCGGUGCUGCCCAGGGAGCCCCCAUAUCCCCAUUCCUUGUGGGGUCACAGCCGUGGGGGAUGGCAGCUGGUGCUCCCACAGGAGCAGCUCUCCCUGGGGCUGAGGGACCAGGCACAGGCUUCAGUUCGACACUGGAUGCCCCCGGCUCAGCAUCACAUGGAUCUGUGGGACCCCCAUUGCCCACCCUCGGGGUCCAGCCCGGUGCAGACCUGGGGGUGCUGGGAGCAGAGGGGCAGGCGCUGGGAGGCAGCAGGACUGGGUCUGAGCCAUCCCUGAGCUCCUCUCCUGGUGCUGGGAUGGAGGCUGGGACACUUCUAUUGCCUGGUGCCGUGUCCCUGCCCGGUCCUGCCUCUCCCAGUGACGCACUUCCAAUAUCUUCCACUUCGGAGAACGGUGCAGCAGCAGCCCCCAUGCCAGCAGCAGCCCCUGGCCCUGACCGCCUGUCCCAGGGCUCUCCGGACAGCGAAACCGGCCCAGAGCUCGCCACGGCGCAGGGGACCAAGAGCACAGGCGAUAUGGCAGAGGCAGCAAACCCAGGGAGCAGAAGUCCCUACACGGACACCAGCUCUUUGCCCAGCAGUGCUCAGCAGGGUCCCGCUGACACCACAGAGCUGCCGGCAGCCCCGGCAGGAGCCCUGCCCAGCACCGAGCUGUCCCCUGCUGCAGCUCCUGGGGAUGGAGCAGGAGCAGCCCUGGCACCGGCAGAAGUGUCCCCGCCUGGUCCCAUGGCUCCUGGCUACGUGGGGCUGGAGCCCGACCUCUCGGGGGCUGAAGGACUGGGACCAAGCCAAGCCCCUGGUGUUGCUUUCCCACCUCCACCUGCUGCGUCUGGAGCUGCGUUUGGGACCAGCGAUGGGGCAGAGAUGGCAGCAAACCCCAACCUCGGUGCUGCCCAGGGAGCCCCCAUAUCCCCAUUCCUUGUGGGGUCACAGCCGUGGGGGAUGGCAGCUGGUGCUCCCACAGGAGCAGCUCUCCCUGGGGCUGAGGGACCAGGCACAGGCUUCAGUUCAGCACUGGAUGCCCCCGGCUCAGCAUCGCAUGGACCCGUGGGACCCCCAUCACCCACCCUCGGGGUCCAGCCUGGCGCAGACCUGGGGGUGCCAGGAACAGAGGGGCAGGUGCUGGGAGGCAGUGGGACUUGGUCUGAGCCAUCCCUGAGCUCCUCUCCUGGCGCUGGGAUGGAGGCUGGGACGGAUCUACUGCCUGGUGCCGUGUCCCUGCCCGGUCCUGCCUCUCCCGGGGACAUGCUCACAGCACCCUCUGUUUUGGAUUCAGCCAGCCCAGGUGCCCUGGGAGGAGUGGACGCUGCUCCCAGUGCUGUGCAGCCUGCCCUGGGUGCUGGUCCUGGCGCCCAUCCUCCUGCAGGAGGAGGCGGGGGUGAAGGGGCUGGGGCUGGAAAUGGGGAGUCCCCGGGGGUGUCCCAGGACCUGGACGGAGCAGCUGGAGCCUCUGGUGGAGGAACGGGAGCCGUGCUGCACUCUGCAUCUCCCUCCCCAUCUCCCGAGGGAUCUUCUUCAGCCCCGACAAGCGGUGGAGCUGCUGAGGGAGCAGGAGGUCCUGGAGCUGGUGGAGCUGGUGUAGGACUGAGCCCAGACCCGGAGGCUGCUGGCCCCCAAGGCAACGAGGAGACCCCUGUGCCUGCCCCCGGCAUCCAGAGCGGCGCCGACCUCGGGCUCUCUGAUGCAAACCUGAGCCAAACCAAUGUGGUGCAGCUGGCCGGAGGAGAAACGGGAGCCUCGGCCCCUUGGGCACCUGCCCCUGGUGCCGGCACAGCAGACGGGGCAGGGGCCAUCAUCCAGAUCACAUCAGGGGUGCUGGCCCCCUCCGUCCUGUCCUCUCCCCGGGAGGUGCAGCCCCUGGUCCCGGUGGCCCCGGAUGCCUCCAGCCCCUUGCUGGCUGCCUCUGCUGGGGGCGUGGGGGGGAGCUCAGCACCAGCACCCAACGGGGGCCCCCCCUCUGCCUCCAGCACCCCAAGUGGGAGCAGCCCCUUGGCACUGGCCUCCCCACUGGCUGCAGUGGUGGCAGGUGCUGGGAGCGCUCUGCCAGGGUCUCCCGAAUAUGAAAUGUCCUCAGGGAUGGCAGCACCUUUGGGAGAAGAGUCCCCACGUGCCCCCGCGCCCGCCAACGCUGCCCCUGCUCUGCCUCCAGCCUCAGAGAGAGAGGAUGCAGCAGCGGGGGCGGCCGCGGGCCCCCCGCCGGUUUCCUCUCCGGUUUCUGGAAGUGAGUUUGGCGCGGGGACACGGGGAGAGCUGGGGGCUGCCGUAGGGGGGGCUGCCCCCUUCCUUCUUCCUCUCCAGCCUGGGGGCCCCGCGGUCCCCCCCAGACCCUCGGUGGCUGAAGGCAGAGGGGACACCGAUGGCCCUGUGCCUGGGGAACCACGUCCCGGUGUCUCUGUAGGACCAGGAGGAGCUGGGGGAGCCUUGGAGACCCCCACUGAGCCCCUGGCGGGGGGCAGCCCGGGGUCUCUCUCUGUCCUUCCUCCUGCUGGCCCCGCUGCUGGCAGCCCCCUGCCCAACAUCCCGGGGCCGGGACCUGCCGGGGGUUCAUCGCCCCCAGCCCUGCGCCCCUCCUUGGGCAGCGCCACCCCUGCAAAUGGGCUCCCUGCCGCCGGCGGGGCGAGCAUCCCCGCACCCAUCCCAGGCCACAGGGGAGCCCAGGGGGGGUCUCCCCCCACCACCCUGCAUCCAGCUGUGUCCUGCAGCCCAACCCUGCCAGCUCCCAGCCCUGGGGGCAAGAAGGGGCUGCCAGGGCCAGGGAAAAAUGAGGCAGCCUCUCUCUCCACCCGUGCAUCAUCCUCCAUGCUUCCAGCUCCACCACGAUCAGCAGCGGCUGCCCCGGUCCCUCCGCCCGGCCCCACAGGUAGGUGAUGCACCGGGCAGGGAAGGGAGAGGGGUGGGAGAGGGAUCCUGCAAGGGAAGGUGACGCGCAGGGUGUCCCGGUGUCCCCCGUUCUCCUGCUGCCCGGCCUGUGUCUCUGAAUGCAAAAUGGUUUCAGCCAUUUGUGUUGGCACAGACCAAAGGUUUUGCUAUAACCGAGUUUUUUUUUUAAAUUAUUUUUUCUAUGUUUUUGUUUGUUUGUUUGUUUUUCUGUUCUAGUCGCAGCCGUGUCCCUCUAUGGAUAUGGACCAAGGGAAAACGACCGCGAGUACGUGGAAAGGAGAGUGGACUUCAACUCUCCGCUUUUCAAGCCCGAGACUGGGUUCCCGUUCGGGAAAACCCUCCGCGACUCUCUCUAC